This 966-nucleotide ribosomal RNA is filed under the name Triticum aestivum (bread wheat). RNAcentral describes it as "partial small subunit ribosomal RNA". The record is from RNAcentral. Lineage: Eukaryota; Viridiplantae; Streptophyta; Magnoliopsida; Poales; Poaceae.
AUGAAAGCUCUCUUUUGGAACGUUCAAGGUUUCGGUGCUAGGGGGCGCCGAGACCAGAUUCAUGACUUGGUUUGUGGAGAGCAUAUUGACAUUUUAGGGUUGGUUGAAACGUUUAAGGAAUCCUUUUCCUCUCUUGAACUGUCUGCGGUGGCUGGCAUGGACGGGUUCGACUGGCACUUUCCCCCUGCUUCGGGCCAUUCUAGGGGCAUCUUGAUAGGGUCUAAACGGGACGUGUUUGAUUUCAUUACCUUUGAUCAUGGCAUAUUUUGGGCUAGCUGUGUGGUUCAUCAUCGCCAGCUUAACAAAUUAUGGGAAUUUUUGGUGGUUUAUGGCCCCGCGGACCACUCUCUUGCCGCUUUGUUUUUGGAUGAACUUUCAAUUAAGAUUGAAUCAUGUAAUAUUCCUCUUCUAAUUGGUGGUGAUUUCAAUUUGUUACACUCCCCGGCGAAUAAAAAUAGACCUAAUUUUUCUUGGCAUCUUGCCAAUGCUUUUAAUGAGUUCUUUAGUAAUUGUGUGCUCCGUGAGCUCCCUAGGGUGGGGGCGCGGUUCACCUGGUCUGACCAUCAGUCCUCUCUUGUUCGAUCGGUGCUGGAUCGGGUCUUUGUCUGUGAUAGGUGGGAUUCGCUUUUCCCCCGUGCGGUGCUGAAAGCCAGGCCUGCGGUUGGCUCCGAUCAUGUCCCCCUCGUCGUGGAUGCGGGAAUCCUUUCCCUUGUGUCGCCUGCCCGCUUCCAAUUUGAUGCCUCUUGGCUAGUAGUGGAGGGAUUCCCUGAGAUGAUGGCUUCCAAGAUCUCUAAUCUUCUGUUCUCCCCUCGCCGUUCCUUUGGCCCCAUGGAUGACUGGCAGCCGAGAUCCGUAGGGAAAAAGAGACCCUUGAAUCUCAACUCUGAGAUCUGGACCACUCUGCUGACUUGUUUGGGCUCUCCGCUUCUCAAUGGGCUACUCGUUACUCCCUGGAAGAUGCUUUGA